RNAcentral lists this ribosomal RNA (468 nucleotides) under uncultured bacterium. RNAcentral describes it as "partial 16S ribosomal RNA". It matches the Rfam family "Bacterial small subunit ribosomal RNA", at positions 28 to 507 of the family's 1533-position model. The record is from RNAcentral.
GACGAACGCUGGCGGCGUGCUUAACACAUGCAAGUCGAACGGAAAGGCCCUGCUUUUGUGGGGUGCUCGAUUGGCGAACGGGUGAGUAACACGUGAGUAACCUGCCCUUGACUUUGGGAUAACUUCAGGAAACUGGGGCUAAUACCGGAUAGGAGCUCCUGCUGCAUGGUGGGGGUUGGAAAGUUUCGGCGGUUGGGGAUGGACUCGCGGCUUAUCAGCUUGUUGGUGGAGUAGUGGCUUACCAAGGCUUUGAAGGGUAGCCGGCAUUGGAGGGUGACCGGCCACAUUGGGACUGCGAUACGGCCCAGAAUCCAACGGGAGGCAGUAGUGGGGAAUAUUGCACAAUGGGCGGAAGCCUGAUGCAGCAACGCCGCGUGCGGGAUGCCGGCCUUCGGGUUGUAAACCGCUUUCGCCUGUGACGAAGCGUGAGUGACGGUAAUGGGUAAAGAAGCACCGGCUAACUACGUG